RNAcentral lists this long non-coding RNA (1179 nucleotides) under Oryctolagus cuniculus (rabbit). RNAcentral describes it as "lncRNA (ENSOCUG00000036793.1)". The record is from RNAcentral. Lineage: Eukaryota; Metazoa; Chordata; Mammalia; Lagomorpha; Leporidae.
AUGAUCUUCUGCACACACAGAUUCAGCAGGCAGAAAUCGACAGACCACCAACUACGUUUGGCUAACGGGAGCCCUGAUCCUUGGAUGAGAUGGGGAGAGAGGAGAGGAAUGGAUUGUUCAUCUCCUGUGGAGCUUUGGUUUGGCCUUGUUGUGUUCCUCUGCCUAAGACCAUGGCACCUGCCCGGCAGUUGCCUCUCCCAGGGCUCAGCUCCCUUCUCUUUGUCCUUUCCAAUUCUCCAGAUGGUAACAGCAGCCCCGGGGGGCUCAUCCCAAGGUGCUGCACUAUCUGUUGCUGGUUCCCAUAACUCCGCUCCGUUUUUGUGAAAUAAUCCUCUCAUUAAACUUUCCUCAGUUCUCUUCACUGCGUGGCAUCUGCUCCUUGCCAGGUCCCUGACUGACACAGUGGGUUUGAAGAUUUGUGUCACUAUGCAGAUUGGAGUUUUAUUUGUCAUCAAUGAUUCACUUCAAAAAAAAAAAAAAAAAAAACCUUAGUAAAGCUAUGAGAUUGUUAAAUUCAGACAAAGAUAAAGACAAUGUUUUCCCUUUUUUCCCUCUCCCCUGUUUCAAGGUUAAUAAGGCUUAUAGGGCAGGAAAUAACGAUAUGUUAAUUGGUCCUUUGUCCAGCCAGGCAAGGUGCAUAGUCAGGGAGGAGCAAGAUGACAGGAAAGGAGGUGAAGAACUUGCAAAUGAAUAAUCAGAAACAGCAUGAUACACUCCUGACAUGCAGCAAACGGCACAGUAAACCUUCACCUGCAGCGCGGAUUUAUCUUGGGACCAGCAUGGAGGCACAGCGGGUAAAGCUGCCUCCUGUGACACCAGCAUCCUCUAUGGGCACUGAGUCAAGUCCUAGAAAUUCGACCUCUGACCCAACUCCCUGCUAAUGGCCUGGGAAAAAUGGCAAAAGAUGACCUAAGGGUUUCGGCCCAUGCCACUCCGGUGGGAGACCCAGAGGAAGCUCCUGGCUCCUAGCUUUGGGCAUGGCCCUGAGCUGGCCAUUGCCACUAUCUGGGGAGGAAACCAGUGGAUGGAAGCUCUCUCUGUGUUUCUCCCUCUCGCUCUAUAACUCUUUCAAAGUAAACAAAUAAGUCUUAUAAAAAAAAAAAAGAAUGUAUUCAUCUCAUUUCACAGACUGGAUCUCCAAAGGAAUAUAACCAAUAAAAUUCUGCAUUUAGAAAUUCA